This 356-nucleotide ribosomal RNA is filed under the name uncultured bacterium. Its description in RNAcentral is "partial 16S ribosomal RNA". It matches the Rfam family "Bacterial small subunit ribosomal RNA", at positions 338 to 709 of the family's 1533-position model. The record is from RNAcentral.
CCUACGGGGGGCAGCAGUGGGGAAUAUUGGGCAAUGGGCGCAAGCCUGACCCAGCAACGCCGCGUGAAGGAAGAAGGCUUUCGGGUUGUAAACUUCUUUUUUCAGGGAAGAGUAGAAGACGGUACCUGACGAAUAAGCCACGGCUAACUACGUGCCAGCAGCCGCGGUAAUACGUAGGUGGCAAGCGUUGUCCGGGUUUACUGGGUGUAAAGGGCGUGUAGCCGGGUUGACAAGUCAGGUGUGAAAUCCUGCGGGUUAACCGCAGAACUGCAGUUGAAACUGUUGAUCUUGAGUACUGGAGAGGUAGAUGGAAUUCGGAGUGUAGCGGUGAAAUGCGUAGAUAUCAGGAGGAACCC